Molecule: long non-coding RNA, 1899 nt
Organism: Cyprinus carpio carpio
Lineage: Eukaryota; Metazoa; Chordata; Actinopteri; Cypriniformes; Cyprinidae
Source: Ensembl
UGCGGUUUAAUAAAUUUUUGUAGCAUCAUGCAAGUCUUGCUGUAUACCACAACACCAGCUGUUUUCAAUUAACUGCAUGAGAAGCCCAGUCAAAGUCAGUGCUUUCAUAGUGGUGUUCACAACAUUACGGGCAUUCUUGAAUGAUGGCUAUGAACCGUAGACGGCAAGGAAAGUUGGAGAUUACACGACCACAGACAGUGGCUUGUGGAGAUGCAGCUGGUUUAAACAGCAUAUAUCCAGUUGGGAGAACAGAUGAAGAUUUACAUUCAAGAAAGAUAUGGACAUCCGCAUUGUCACGUGAAGAACAUGUUGCAACUGCUGGAAGCCUUCAAAGAAUAGCUGGUCUUUCACAGGGGAGGCAGAGGCGCUUUCUGAUGAUGGCACCAGAAAUUCUGCAACUGACCGGACUGAUGACAAACUAUGCUUGCAGUCGACCCCAUGACUGGAGGAUAUAUAUGAGACAACGAGAUGCUCAAUUCAUUCUGAGGUCUGGGAACUCUCUGAAAAUGGGAUGUUAGGACUGAGAGACCCUCUGGCCGAGAAAAAGCUACACCACAUCGGUGCUGGAUGUCAACCACAAACUCUUUACAGACACGAGAGAAGAAGAUCAUGAUGGGGAAAUGGAUGGGGAAGAGCAAGAAACCAGUUUAGAUGUGAUAAGGAAUCAUUAUUUUCUGAAACAGUAUCAAAUGUCUUAUAUGUAUCACAUGAUCUGCAGCACAGGUGACUGGAUGGGAUUGUUUGACUUUUAAGGACAUUUCAUCACUCAUUUGUGUGAACUGAUUAAUAUAUGAUUUUAAUGUAUUUUUGAUGAUCCAUUAUUAUUUUCCUUGAAUCUCGUUUGUCUUGAUGCUACUUUAUCAACUAUAGUCUAUGCUUCAAUAAAAUGAAUAUGGUGAAUUUUGUGUAUUGAAAAUUCUUGGCAAAUACCUUAUUUUACUAUGCGCGUAUGUGCUUAUAUUAUACUUGAAAAACUACAUAUUACUAAUUACUGUGGUUAUUUUUUACUUAAGACAUAAACAUUUUUGAUCAGAUUAAUGACAUCUUGAACAACAAUACACCAGAAAGUUAUUAUUGUAUAUAUUUAGUAACAAAUAUGCCAAUUUUUGGUGAAAUAAAGGGAGUUACAAGAUUAAUUAAUUUGCAUUACAAGAUGGUGCCAUGGGCUUUAUUGCUACAAACACUUAAGGGAUAACUGGGAAUGUACCAGGAAUGAUCAACGUGGAUCUUGUACUGCAUUAAAACCAAGAGCAUGCACAUUACUGAUGUCCAGCACGUGAGGAGCAAGAUAAGGGGUUGAGAAGGACAUUUUUUUACACUGAUUUUUAUAUAUAUAUAUAUAUAAACACACAACCAGCACAGUGGGCAGCCAUUUUAUGCUGCAGCGCCCAGGGAGCAGUUGGGGGUUUGGUGCCAUACUCAAGGGCACCUCAGUCGUGGGCUCCUCAGUCAUGGUGUUGCCAGCCCAAAACUCGAACCCACAACCUUAUGAUUAGGAGUCAAACUCUCUAACCACUAGGCCACGACUUCCCCAGUGAGUGAGAAUGGGUUGGAAAAGUAUACUAUUUUCCUUAACACUGAGGAUAAUUAAAGUAAACCUGUGACUGUAGGGGUUAUUUUUGACCACACAUUCCACCGUAAGAAACACAGAUGAAGAGAACCAGAGGAAAUGAAAGCCAUGGGCACCACCUCAGCAGAAUCUAACAGAGGCAUGUGGAGACACACUGUCCCUUUGCUCUUAAACCACACCGCGUCCAGCCAGCGUGAGAACGGCCUGUCCAGGCAUCCGGACCCUUGGAGUUGAGGGGACAUAGAGAGCCCUUCUCUAGAGACUUCACUAAGUAAACUUGUGUCACUGUUUUGCAAUCAAGAGGGAUUUACACUCAAUGUCAAGCACAG